RNA transcript from Marmota flaviventris (yellow-bellied marmot), 1651 nucleotides. It is a transcript of the gene named transmembrane protein 192, with no coding region annotated. The record is from RefSeq and is a predicted model, not a curated record. Lineage: Eukaryota; Metazoa; Chordata; Mammalia; Rodentia; Sciuridae.
GCAGGUCCCAGAAGGUGGCGACUUUCCUGGGCCUGUGGCGCCUUGGCGCAGGUGGAGAGGUCAGGCUGGAGGGGGCUUUGGCCUCCGGCGUUGGGAAAUGGCGGCGGGGGUCAGAAUAGAAGACGGUUCCUUGGACAUUAUCCAGAGUAUUGAAGAGGACCCACUUCUGGAUGCCCAGCUUCUCCCGCAUCACUCAUUACAAGCUCAUUUUAGACCCAGAUUCCACCCUCUUCCUACAGUCAUCAUAGCAAAUCUUCUUCUGUUUAUCCAUGUUGUGUUUGUUAUUUUAGCGUUCUUGACAGGUGUGCUUUGUUCUUACCCUGACCCAAACGAGGACAAGUGCCCUGGAAACUACACCAACCCACUGAAAGUCCAGACAGUCAUAAUCCUAGGAAAAGUCAUUUUGUGGAUUCUGCACUUACUUCUGGAACGCUACAUUCAGUAUCACCACAGCAAAGUGAGAAACCGUGGCUAUAACCAGAUCUACCGAGCCACAAGGCAUCUGAAGAGCCUCGCCCUGGUGACACACUCCACCGGAAACACGAUGCUCCUCCUCAUACUGUGCAUGCAGCAUUCUUUCCCUGAGCCCAGCAGGUUGUACCUUGACCUCAUUCUGGCCAUCCUGGCCCUGGAACUGCUCUGCUCCCUGACCUGUCUGCUCAUUUAUGCAGUGAAAAUUAGAAAAUUUAAUAGAGACAAACCACAGCCUGAUGUACUUGAAGAAGAAAAAAUCUAUGCUUACCACAGCAAUAUUACCUCGGAAACCGGAUUAAGGACUAUUUCAAGCCUAGAAGAAAUUGUUGAAAAGCAAGGAGACAUAAUAGUGUACUUGAAGCGACACAAUGCCCUGUUGAGUAAGCGGCUGUUGGCACUCACUUGCUCAGACCUAGCCUCUCAGCCAAGUAGGACAUGAGAGGCUCACAGGCGUGAUCAUGGCUGAAGAGUUCAGAGCAACCUCAGACUGAAGGACGGCCUGUCCUGCUGCCCUAGGGAACCACAGCCCUUGCUGAAAAACAUUGUGUAGCGUGUUGGAAACUUGAACUUGGUUCUCACCUGUGUGGCUGUUUAGUAGAUGGGGCUUAUGGAUCAUUUGAAAGCCUGGGGAGGUGAACUCAGGAGGCUUGGAUCGUGGAGGAGGAGGAGAUCCCCUUACCCAUAACUGCUGCAAAUGCUGGUCCACCAAGUUCUGGAAAUGUAGAUGACCAGUACCAUGAUCUGCCUUCUGAUGCCCCUGUGGUGCAUUUAUGAAGGGAGCCUCAGCCUUACAACAGAUAUAUCUUGGGGAUUCAGGUCCUCCUUGGGCCUCCAUUCCCUAUGGCAUAGAACAACUCGUGAAAAUUCACACCUUACCUAGAAAACAUGAUCCCACCAGCCCAGAUAGGUCUCUCUUCCCAGAAUGCCUUGACUGAGGGGGUGUGGCUGGCAUUGAUCUUCUUGGUACCUUCUGACCCAGUCAUGGCUCCUGACAGAAGUCUGUUACCCAAAUCCAGACCAGUGGACAGAUAGUUCCAAACACCUUUCACGGAUGGGAUCCAACCUACCCAGAGCUGAGCUCCAGGAUUUGUACUUUUAUGUAAGAUAAGCUACCUUUUUUUUUUUUAAAGGGGGGUGUGUGCUGGGGAUGGAUAGUGGUAAAGCAUCCCUAAAUUCA